Molecule: ribosomal RNA, 441 nt
Filed under: uncultured bacterium
Lineage: Bacteria
Description: bacterial SSU rRNA
Rfam family: Bacterial small subunit ribosomal RNA
Source: RNAcentral
AACGCGAAGAACCUUACCUGGUCUUGACAUCCACAGAAUUUAGCAGAGAUGCUUUAGUGCCUUCGGGAACUGUGAGACAGGUGCUGCAUGGCUGUCGUCAGCUCGUGUUGUGAAAUGUUGGGUUAAGUCCCGCAACGAGCGCAACCCUUAUCCUUUGUUGCCAGCACGUCAUGGUGGGAACUCAGGGGAGACUGCCGGUGACAAACCGGAGGAAGGUGGGGAUGACGUCAAGUCAUCAUGGCCCUUACGACCAGGGCUACACACGUGCUACAAUGGCAGAUACAAAGUGAAGCGAGCUCGCGAGAGUAAGCGGACCACAUAAAGUCUGUCGUAGUCCGGAUUGGAGUCUGCAACUCGACUCCAUGAAGUCGGAAUCGCUAGUAAUCGUGGAUCAGAAUGCCACGGUGAAUACGUUCCCGGGCCUUGUACACACCGCUAGUC